GUAGCUGCUCCCGAGGAUGGACGGGUGUCGACGAUGAACCCACCCACAGGAAUACUCCUACGAUGCAACUGGUUUUGAAGAAACCAGCAGAAAUCGAGAAGUUGGAUUCCGAUUGAGUGUUUUGAACAGGAUCUAAUGUGAUCUUCGGGUCCAACAGUUGGGGAAACAAGAACAUGACAAAUAAGUCGGCACCUCGUAUCGCCUGUAAGUUCAACGUCCGCGCUAUAGCAAAGAGAAAACGACAUGGAGAGAAACGUCGUUUGGCUUGCACGCAAGCAGAACAUUUGUUCUAGCCGCCCGGUAUUCAUUCUUCACCAUAGGAGAUGGAAGAAGUGAACAACCUAUCUUUACAGCAGGGCACGGGAGUUACUGAAUAGGAAGCUAUUUUAAAAUCUGAUACACGUGAUCGCUACAAGAUGAUAUCGUUGACGACGAUGGAUCCGCUUACGAAUAUGUGGAGAAUUAUCGCGAAGUAUUUGACGAGGACGAACUGAAGGCAGAGAGUUCCAGUUGAACUAAGGAGAAAGGCAAAAAGGUGCAAGAAACUAGCACAGGAAGAUUCUGCUCCGGUGGCCGGCUCGCUCAAGAACUAUUUCAACAAAAUUUCGGAUGAUGUACUGGCGGAUGUUUAGGAUGAGAUUAAAUCCGAAGGGACUGGAGGUGAAAUUGCUUCUAAGCAGAUUAAAGAAAUCCGGCCGAUGAAAAUGGGUCCGAGGCCGAACCCAGUGGACAAUGAAGAAGAAGUAUAUGGAGAAUUUUAGCAAGAAUAUUAAAAAGACGGAGAAAGUGGUGGAACAUGACAGCGAUGAGGAGAUGCUGGUUCAGAUUAUGAAGCAAAGUUUCACGGAUAAUCGACAAAAAGUAAAACCUAAAUCUGCUCCGGCCAAACAGGAAGCACAUAUUUUGCCAACGUUCA
Molecule: long non-coding RNA, 916 nt
Organism: Topomyia yanbarensis
Lineage: Eukaryota; Metazoa; Arthropoda; Insecta; Diptera; Culicidae
Exons: 3
Source: RefSeq, a predicted model, not a curated record